RNAcentral lists this long non-coding RNA (241 nucleotides) under Oryza sativa (Asian cultivated rice). RNAcentral describes it as "long non-coding RNA (OSAT_LNC001447)". The record is from RNAcentral. Lineage: Eukaryota; Viridiplantae; Streptophyta; Magnoliopsida; Poales; Poaceae.
UGCACGAAGGUGGUGGGGAAGGGGGUGGUCUCGAUGGUGCGGGGGACGGGCCUAGGCGACGGUGGAAGUGGUGCACGGUGGUGCGGGUGAGACGGCGAGGUGGAGGACGACGACGACGACGAGGUGGAAGACGACGGCGAGUUGGGGUCUUGCUGAGGCAUGGGGAGGAGCUGCUUGGUAGAGGGCUCCAUUAAUGCCUCCCUCCCCUCCUCGCCCGCACUUGUGGGGUUCUUGGGUUUUG